GAAAGGGCCAUUUGAUUCCCUAAAGGGGUCUCAACCCAGAGGUUGAGCAGCGCUGUCCUAUGGCAUAGAUGAGAACUAAGAUCCACAUGUAUUAUCUUUGGGCCACCCUUCCUUUCUGCAAAGUCCUCAUCCUACCCCCAGACCCCCAUCAGUGAAGGACAAUGGAGGUGUUCUCACCAAAGGCAGUUUCCAGAUUAAAGGAUGGACCGAAUGGGAAGGAGUCAAAGCAAGUCGCCUUCAGUUACUCAAGAACUCCUCGGUGAAGGGCUCACGUGAUGAGACUCAGGCAAAUCAAACCACUAUUAUUUUCUUUUUCCUGUAAAAGGUUUUGACUACAUAAUGUAUACAUCAGUUCUGGGGCUAAAUUCUGUGGCUGUAAAUGUGUUUGCUCCCCUAGGUGCAAUGUCUGACUUUAGGAUUUCUGGCAGUAAAGGACGA
Molecule: long non-coding RNA, 438 nt
Organism: Mastomys coucha (southern multimammate mouse)
Lineage: Eukaryota; Metazoa; Chordata; Mammalia; Rodentia; Muridae
Exons: 2
Source: RefSeq, a predicted model, not a curated record